This 58-nucleotide transfer RNA is filed under the name Neotoma lepida (desert woodrat). Lineage: Eukaryota; Metazoa; Chordata; Mammalia; Rodentia; Cricetidae. The record is from Rfam by way of RNAcentral.
UGGCUCAGCGGUUAAGAGCACUGGCUGUUCCCCCAGAGGUCCUGAGUUCAAUUCUCAG